RNAcentral lists this ribosomal RNA (526 nucleotides) under uncultured Lactobacillus sp. RNAcentral's name for it is "bacterial SSU rRNA". It matches the Rfam family "Bacterial small subunit ribosomal RNA", at positions 44 to 525 of the family's 1533-position model. The record is from RNAcentral. Lineage: Bacteria; Bacillati; Bacillota; Bacilli; Lactobacillales; Lactobacillaceae.
GUGCCUAAUACAUGCAAAGUCGAGCGAGCUUGCCUAUUUGAAAAUUCUUUCGGGAAUGGGACAUAGAUACAAGCUAGCGCGGAUGGGGUGAGUAACGCGUGGGUAACCCUGCCCUUAAGUCUGGGAUACCAUUUGGAAACAGAUGCUAAUACCGGAUAAAAAGCUACUUUCGCAUGAAAGAAGUUUUAAAAAAGGCGGCGUAAGCUGUCGCUAAAGGAUGGACCUGCGAUGCAUUAGCUAGUUGGUAAGGUAAAGGCUUACCAAGGCGAUGAUGCAUAGCCGAGUUGAGAGACUGAUCGGCCACAUUGGGACUGAGACACGGCCCAAACUCCUACGGGAGGUAGCAGUAGGGAAUCUUCCACAAUGGACGCAAGUCUGAUGGAGCAACGCCGCGCGAGUGAAGAAGGUUUUCGGAUCGUAAAGCUCUGUUGUUGGUGAAGAAGGAUAGAGGUAGUAACUGGCCUUUAUUUGACGGUAAUCAACCAGAAAGUCACGGGCUAACUACGUGCCAGCAGCCGCGGUAAAU